RNAcentral lists this ribosomal RNA (420 nucleotides) under uncultured bacterium. RNAcentral's name for it is "bacterial SSU rRNA". It matches the Rfam family "Bacterial small subunit ribosomal RNA", at positions 356 to 773 of the family's 1533-position model. The record is from RNAcentral.
AAGGAAUAUUGGGCAAUGGAGGCAACUCUGACCCAGCCAUCCCGCGUGAAGGAUUAAGGCCCUAUGGGUUGUAAACUUCUUUUGCUUGGGAAGAAAUCUGGACAUUUAUGUGCAGUUGACGGUACCUUGCGAAUAAGCACCGGCUAACUCCGUGCCAGCAGCCGCGGUAAUACGGAGGGUGCAAGCGUUAUCCGGAAUCACUGGGUUUAAAGGGUGCGUAGGCGGUUUGAUAAGUCAGAGGUGAAAGCUAGCAGCUUAACUGUUAAAUUGCCUUUGAUACUGUCAGACUUGAAUCAGGUUGAGGUAGGCGGAAUGUGACAUGUAGCGGUGAAAUGCAUAGAUAUGUCAUAGAACACCAAUUGCGUAGGCAGCUUGCUGGGCUUGAAUUGACGCUGAGGCACGAAAGCGUGGGGAUCAAAC